This 440-nucleotide ribosomal RNA is filed under the name uncultured bacterium. RNAcentral describes it as "partial 16S ribosomal RNA". It matches the Rfam family "Bacterial small subunit ribosomal RNA", at positions 338 to 795 of the family's 1533-position model. The record is from RNAcentral.
CCUACGGGAGGCAGCAGUGGGGAAUAUUGCACAAUGGGCGAAAGCCUGAUGCAGCAACGCCGCGUGAGCGAUGAAGGCCUUCGGGUCGUAAAGCUCUGUCCUCAAGGAAGAUAAUGACGGUAGUUGAGGAGGAAGCUCCGGCUAACUACGUGCCAGCAGCCGCGGUAAUACGUAGGGGGCUAGCGUUUUCCGGAUUUACUGGGGGUAAAGGGUGCGUAGGGGGGUUUGUAAGUCAGAGGUGAAAGGCAUGGGCUUAACCCGUGGAAGGCUUUUGAAACUGGAGACCUUGAGUGGAGGAGAGGAAGGUGGAAUUCCUGGUGUAGCGGUGAAAUGCGUAGAUAUUAGGAGGAACACCAGUUGCGAAGGCGGCUCUCUGGACUGUAACUGACACUGAGGCACGAAAGCGUGGGGAGCAAACAGGAUUAGAUACCCGAGUAGUC